GUUUUAAUCCUUCUUCUCUGGGGACUGGCAGCCCUUCUAACAGCUGUGGGGUGUUACCAUAACCUCAGCCCUCUCCAUCUCUGUCUGACAGAUGGCUGGACACACCUUCUUUGAAGAAAGCCACUCUUACUGGGAAGGCACAAAAAGUUCACAGUCAAGAUGAAGUUAUUUUUGAGGUAAGAACUUUCUCUCCUUUUAUAUGGUGUACACGUGCAACAUAAAAAGCAAAGAUGCAAAGAGCUGAGUGCUUCAAGAUUUGACACUACACAGAUAGAGAUGCAUUUUUGUAUUACAAUCUCACAUUUGGCCUGACUGAAUU
Molecule: long non-coding RNA, 319 nt
Filed under: Phasianus colchicus (ring-necked pheasant)
Lineage: Eukaryota; Metazoa; Chordata; Aves; Galliformes; Phasianidae
Description: lncRNA (ENSPCLG00000009186.1)
Source: RNAcentral